AACGAACGCUGGCGGCGGGGUUUAGGCAUGCAAGUCGAGCGAGAAAGGGGAAACCCGAGUAAAGCGGCGUAAGGGUGAGUAAUAGGUAGUUCACGUAUCCUCCAGAUGCGGAUAAUUCCCCGAAAGGGGUUGUAAUACGCGAUGAGACCACGCGGGAUCAGUCCUGCGAGGUCAAAGGUUCGGGAUCCUUCGGGACCGAGCGCUGGUGGAGCGGACGACCUCCGAUUAGCUAGAUGGCGAGGUAAUGGCUCACCAUGGCGAUGAUCGGGUA
This 271-nucleotide ribosomal RNA is filed under the name uncultured bacterium. RNAcentral's name for it is "partial 16S ribosomal RNA". It matches the Rfam family "Bacterial small subunit ribosomal RNA", at positions 29 to 286 of the family's 1533-position model. The record is from RNAcentral.